This 331-nucleotide ribosomal RNA is filed under the name uncultured eukaryote. RNAcentral describes it as "partial 18S ribosomal RNA". It matches the Rfam family "Eukaryotic small subunit ribosomal RNA", at positions 1470 to 1796 of the family's 1831-position model. The record is from RNAcentral.
CCCUUAGAUGUUCUGGGCCGCACGCGUGCUACACUGAUGCAUUCAACGAGUCUAAAACCUGGUCUGAUAGGGCUGGGUAAUCUUUUGAAAGUGCAUCGUGAUUGGGAUAGAUGAUUGCAAUUCUUCAUCUUCAACGAGGAAUGCCUAGUAAACGCAAGUCAUCAGCUUGCAUUGAUUACGUCCCUGCCCUUUGUACACACCGCCCGUCGCUACUACCGAUUGAAUGAUUUAGUGAGGACUUCGGACUGGGACCGAUGCGGCUUUCGGGCUGCGUCGGUAUUCUGGAAAGAUGUCCAAACUGUAUCAUUUAGAGGAAGUAAAAGUCGUAACA